Molecule: ribosomal RNA, 391 nt
Filed under: uncultured bacterium
Lineage: Bacteria
Description: bacterial SSU rRNA
Rfam family: Bacterial small subunit ribosomal RNA
Source: RNAcentral
GACGAACGCUGGCGGCGUGCUUAACACAUGCAAGUCGAACGGUGACGGAGAGCUUGCUCUCCUGAUCAGUGGCGAACGGGUGAGUAACACGUGGGCAACCUGCCCCAGACUUCGGGAUAACGCUUCGAAAGAGGUGCUAAUACCGGAUACGAGCUCCUUGGGCAUCCUUGGAGUUGGAAAGUUUUUCGGUCUGGGAUGGGCCCCGCGGCCUAUCAGCUAGUUGGUGAGGUAACGGCUCACCAAGGCGACGACGGGUAGCCGGCCUGAGAGGGCGACCGGCCACACUGGGACUGAGACACGGCCCAGACUCCUACGGGAGGCAGCAGUGGGGAAUAUUGCGCAAUGGGCGAAAGCCUGACGCAGCAACGCCGCGUGAGGGAUGAAGGCCUUC